UUGAACAUCUACAAAUUGCUCAUAGCGCGUCACUGCUGCCUCCUGACGUAUUUAGCGCGACGCAUUUGGGUAGUCAGCACGUUAUUGUGAAAUGUUACUGCUGAUGGUUGUAUCACGGUUUUGUUUUGUGAGCAUGGUAUCGCAUGUCAUUCCUAUUGUUGUGACGAAGUGACACGAUUGGCUGACGACCCCACGCGAGGAGUUGAGAACCAUAGUAUGUUUAAAAAAAAAACAGUCAGAUGUAUAGGAUGGCUGCAGACCAGCAGUGGAAGAAAUGAACACGCAAACGUCAGCAGGAGAUAGACUUGACUCUGUUCUAGAAUUGGAUCUCUUGAAGAUAUGUAUGCAUCAUGUCUGCAGGAAACAAGAUAUUACUCAGAAGGCAUAGCUUUUUGUAACUGUUUGUUAUGAUGAACUGUUUCGGCCUGCAAAUAUAUAUAUUUUUUUCAUACCACUCAACUUUUUUGCUGAAACUUUCUGGAGAAAAAAAAAUAAAGACGUAAAAAUCCA
This is a long non-coding RNA of Protopterus annectens (West African lungfish), 510 nucleotides long. RefSeq lists it as uncharacterized. NCBI's taxonomy places the organism in Eukaryota, Metazoa, Chordata, Ceratodontiformes, Protopteridae. The record is from RefSeq and is a predicted model, not a curated record. The transcript has 3 exons.